AGUUUUUGUGGACUGAGCUUUGUAGGUCUCUGCUAAAAAUUACUGGAGGAAGAACUGAGAGAGGGAGAGCAAAGGAAGGUUUCUGUUUAUAGGAUAGGAGAAGUAUUUCCUGCCCAGCUCUAACGCAGCUAUUCCACCAGUUUAGACACAAUUUCAGCUAUUUCCCAGUGAGGACAUCACAGUGAUGGUUACGACAGUGACAUCACUCCUGGAAUGGGAGGUAUUUCCCUCU
Molecule: long non-coding RNA, 232 nt
Filed under: Phasianus colchicus (ring-necked pheasant)
Lineage: Eukaryota; Metazoa; Chordata; Aves; Galliformes; Phasianidae
Description: lncRNA (ENSPCLG00000000455.1)
Source: RNAcentral